RNAcentral lists this long non-coding RNA (307 nucleotides) under Salmo salar (Atlantic salmon). Its description in RNAcentral is "lncRNA (ENSSSAG00000098441.1)". The record is from RNAcentral. Lineage: Eukaryota; Metazoa; Chordata; Actinopteri; Salmoniformes; Salmonidae.
GAGGGCUUGAGCUAAGGUACCCAGUGUGGCAGGCCCUCACACCCCUCCCAUUCAGAGGGCUUGAGCUAAGGUACCCAGUGUGGCAGCCCCUCACACCCCUCCCAUUCAGAGGGCUUGAGCUAAGGUACCCAGUGUGGCAACCCCUCACACCCCUCCCAUUCAGAGGGCUUGAGCUAAGGUACCCAGUGUGGCAGCCCCUCGCACCCCUCCCAUUCAGAGGGCUUGAGCUAAGGUACCCAGUGUGGCAGCCCCUCGCACCCCUCCCAUUCAGAGGGCUUGAGCUAAGGUACCCAGUGUGGCAGUCCCU